Molecule: long non-coding RNA, 1566 nt
Filed under: Lupinus angustifolius (narrow-leaved blue lupine)
Lineage: Eukaryota; Viridiplantae; Streptophyta; Magnoliopsida; Fabales; Fabaceae
Description: long non-coding RNA (LANG_LNC000109)
Source: RNAcentral
UCCUUAUAUCACAUACGUACAAUAGAAACUAUAUUGACAAGUUUGAUUGGGGAUUUGUGAAUUAAUUGACAAAUACUGAUUCACAAUGCUUUUACAAACCAAUACGCCCUGAUCCAUAUAUUGAUACUCGAUUUCAAUUAAACCAUCAUUGAAGACAUCAUCAUUCUCAUCUUUAGGCUUCAAACUGUCAUAACUCCAAUAACAUAACUUCGACUGCAUAUGAUAAGGAGGUUGAUAGCCCUAACAGGAACACAAACAAAUUAAAGGAGAGAGGGAGUAAAUGAGCUUGUUUAUUUUAGUAAAAGUAAUUGAGCUUAUUACAAAACACUCAUGACAAUACUCAUUUGAUAAUGGUAAGUUAAUAUUUGAAAAUUGAAAUCAAAACUUUGUAACUAUAGUAUGUGAAACUAAUGGUAAUUAUAUUCUAAUUUAACUAGAUCCUUAACUUUUUUUUAUCAACAAUGAAAUUUAUUAAUAUAAAAUGUGUAAAUUAGAAGAACAAGUGAUACUCAUCAUAUUUAUAACCACAAAAUUUAUCAAGAAAAAAGACAAUUAGACGGGUUCAACACCCAUUCUGAAAAUGAGAAGUUGAAAUUCUUACAACGAAUACUUACGGUAUUCCAAGAAUGUAAAAAUAUAAGAUCAAUCACCUCUUCGAGAAAUAAUGUACCUACGUUACUUACAUUAAACUUCUGAUACAAAUAUGUAUGUUGUUCAUAGUUGUCCUAACCUAAAUGACUCAAACUAAAAAAAAAACUAAUUAAUGAUAAUUAUGAUCUCAACAACAAUUUAGAAUCAUUAAUAUGAUAAUUACGUUUCUGCAUAUUUGGAAUUAAAUUUGAAUAAAAAUGCGUACUAUUUUUGCUAUAAGUUGUUGGUGUAUUUAUUGUUUGUCUUAGAUGCAACUUUUUACUCCCUUCAAUUUUACCUGCAUGUCAAAGACCAAAACAAGAUAUUUUUAGCUUCUUUAUUUUGUACGUAAAUGAAAUAUAUUUUUUAAAUACAAUACUAUACACUAGUAUAUAAUUCAAUGUCAUAGUUUAAAUCAAAAGGGUCUAACUAAGUUACUUAAAUAUGAAAUUUUAGGUAUGAUCUCUAAAUUCAUGUAUAUGUAAAAAAAUAUUAUAUAAACGGGUUCAAACUUAAUCAUAUGAUUAACCAAUUUUGGAGAUUAGUUUCUUACCAAUCAGGUCGAAAACUUAACACUGUAUUUUUUCAUCAUGUCACUCGUUACCCGUUUGUCGGAUGGAGAUGAUCACCUUCCUUUCCUUCAUGAUCAUGUUCCAAUGCUCUCCAUAAUUUCUUCUUCCAAUUUAGAACCAUAAUGUGACUUACAACAGUGACCCGUGCUAGUGUAUCAAAAAAUCUCACCACAAAUUCUAGUUUAAGGACAUAAAAUACAAGCUUUUUUUUGUUUCCCACAUGUUUCCUCACACUGGAGGCAAUCCUGUCUGAGCCGGGAACAUCCACAGGUACGUGGGGCUAACUCUCCCAACAUAUAUUUUUUCCUUCCACAAGACUCGAACCCGAGACCUUGCUUAAGAGGAAUCAAGCAUGUACCACUUG